CAGUAGGGAAUCUUCCACAAUGGGCGAAAGCCUGAUGGAGCAACGCCGCGUGUGUGAUGAAGGCUUUCGGGUCGUAAAGCACUGUUGUAUGGGAAGAACGUGGGUAAGAGUAACUGUUUACCCAGUGACGGUAUUUAACCAGAAAGCCACGGCUAACUACGUGCCAG
Molecule: ribosomal RNA, 167 nt
Filed under: uncultured bacterium
Lineage: Bacteria
Description: partial 16S ribosomal RNA
Rfam family: Bacterial small subunit ribosomal RNA
Source: RNAcentral